RNAcentral lists this ribosomal RNA (223 nucleotides) under Actinomyces sp. Its description in RNAcentral is "partial 16S ribosomal RNA". It matches the Rfam family "Bacterial small subunit ribosomal RNA", at positions 943 to 1167 of the family's 1533-position model. Lineage: Bacteria; Bacillati; Actinomycetota; Actinomycetes; Actinomycetales; Actinomycetaceae. The record is from RNAcentral.
GGAUUAAUUCGAUGCAACGCGAAGAACCUUACCAAGGCUUGACAUGCACGGCGGCACUGCAGAGAUGUGGUGGCAUUUAGUUGGUCGUGUGCAGGUGGUGCAUGGUUGUCGUCAGCUCGUGUCGUGAGAUGUUGGGUUAGUCCCGCAACGAGCGCAACCCUUGCCCUAUGUUGCCAGCACGUGAUGGUGGGGACUCGUGGGGGACUGCCGGGGUUAACUCGGA